ACGCUCACAUCAGCAGCACAUAUGCUACAAUUGGAAGAACACAGAGAUGAUUAGCGUGGCCCCUGUGCAAAGGCGACACACAAACCUGUGCAGCAUUCUAUCAUUUU
This is a small nuclear RNA of Pteronotus mesoamericanus, 107 nucleotides long. Lineage: Eukaryota; Metazoa; Chordata; Mammalia; Chiroptera; Mormoopidae. The record is from RefSeq and is a predicted model, not a curated record.